GACGAACGCUGGCGGCGUGCUUAACACAUGCAAGUCGAACGGAAAGGCCCUGCUUUUGUGGGGUGCUCGAGUGGCGAACGGGUGAGUAACACGUGAGUAACCUGCCCUUGACUUUGGGAUAACUUCAGGAAACUGGGGCUAAUACCGGAUAGGAGCUCCUGAUGCGUGGUGGGGGUUGGAAAGUUUCGGCGGUUGGGGAUGGACUCGCGGCUUAUCAGCUUGUUGGUGGGGUAGUGGCUUACCAAGGCUUUGACGGGUAGCCGGCCUGAGAGGGUGACCGGCCACAUUGGGACUGAGAUACGGCCCAGACGCCUACGGGAGGCAGCAGUGGAGAAUAUUGCACAAUGGGCGGAAGCCUGAUGCAGCAACGCCGCGUGCGGGAUGACGGCCUUCGGGUUGUAAACCGCUUUCGCCUGUGACGAAGCGGGAGUGACGGUAAUGGGUAAAGAAGCACCGGCUAACUACGUG
RNAcentral lists this ribosomal RNA (468 nucleotides) under uncultured bacterium. RNAcentral's name for it is "partial 16S ribosomal RNA". It matches the Rfam family "Bacterial small subunit ribosomal RNA", at positions 28 to 507 of the family's 1533-position model. The record is from RNAcentral.